GUCGAGAAUAAUUCACAAUGGGGGCAACCCUGAUGGUGCAACGCCGCGUGGAGGAUGAAGGUCUUCGGAUUGUAAACUCCUGUCAUCCGGGAGCAAGACCUGGCCGUGAAUAGCGGACAGGGUUGAUAGUACCGGAAGAGGAAGGGACGGCUAACUUCGUGCCAGCAGCCGCGGUAAUACGAAGGUCCCGAGCGUUGUUCGGAAUCACUGGGCGUAAAGGGAGCGUAGGCGGCGCGGUAAGUCAGAGGUGAAAUCCUAGGGCUCAACCCUGGAACUGCAUCCGAUACUGCUGUGCUUGAGCAAUGGAGAGGUAGCCGGAAUUCUCGGUGUAGCAGUGAAAUGCGUAGAUAUCGAGAGGAACACUCGUGGCGAAAGCGGGCUACUGGACAUUUGCUGACGCUGAGGCUCGAAGGCCGGGGGAGCGAAAGGGAUUAGAUACCCGAGUAGUCC
This 450-nucleotide ribosomal RNA is filed under the name uncultured bacterium. RNAcentral describes it as "partial 16S ribosomal RNA". It matches the Rfam family "Bacterial small subunit ribosomal RNA", at positions 354 to 796 of the family's 1533-position model. The record is from RNAcentral.